AACUGCAUUUCGAACUGGCAAACUAGAGUUCUUGAGAGGGUGGUAGAAUUUCAGGUGUAGCGGUGAAAUGCGUAGAGAUCUGAAGGAAUACCAGUGGCGAAGGCGGCCACCUGGCAAGUAACUGACGCUCAGAUGCGAAAGCGUGGGUAGCAAACGGGAUUAGAUACCCCGGUAGUCCACGCCGUAAACGAUGUCUACUCGGAGUUUGGUUCCUUGAGAACUGGGCUCUUAAGCUAACGCAUUAAGUAGACCGCCUGGGGAGUACGGCCGCAAGGUUAGAACUCAAAUGAAUUGACGGGGGCCCGCACAAGCGGUGGAGCAUGUGGUUUAAUUCGAUGCAACGCGAAGAGCCUUACCUACUCUUGACAUCCAUAGAACUUUUCAGAGAUGAAUUGGUGCCUUCGGGAACUAUGAGACAGGUGCUGCAUGGCUGUCGUCAGCUCGUGUUGUGAAAUGUUGGGUUAAGUCCCGCAACGAGCGCAACCCUUAUCCUUAUUUGCCAGCACGUAAUGGUGGGAACUCUAAGGAGACUGCCGGUGAUAAACCGGAGGAAGGUGGGGACGACGUCAAGUCAUCAUGGCCCUUACGAGUAGGGCUACACACGUGCUACAAUGGCGCAUACAAAGGGCUGCAAACCAGCGACGGUAAGCGAAUCCCAUAAAGUGCGUCGUAGUCCGGAUUGGGGUCUGCAACUCGACCCCAUGAAGUCGGAAUCGCUAGUAAUCGUGAAUCAGAAUGUCACGGUGAAUACGUUCCCGAGCCUUGUACACACCGCCCGUCACACCAUGGGAGUGGGCUGCACCAGAAGUCAUUAGCUUAACCUU
This 824-nucleotide ribosomal RNA is filed under the name uncultured bacterium. Its description in RNAcentral is "bacterial SSU rRNA". It matches the Rfam family "Bacterial small subunit ribosomal RNA", at positions 619 to 1442 of the family's 1533-position model. The record is from RNAcentral.